AAACAUUACAUGGUGCUUGUGUCACUUAAUUUUUAAGCGUGUAUUCAUUUCAGCUGUGAAGUACUUUCUACAGGUAAAAAGUGCAGAAUCUUAUGCUAGUAUAAUGAAGAGUGCUGGAAUUGAUAUUGACAUUGAGGAUAGAAAGAAAACAAUUUUGGAGCGCUCACAUUUAUUAGCAAAAAGUGUCAAGGGAAACAUUGUCUUUCAGGAAAGCUUGUUCAAUGAGGUUGUAAAUCUUGUUGAGGCACCUGUUCCAGUGCUUGGAAAGUUUAAAGAGUCUUUCUUAGAGCUUCCAGUCGAUCUCUUAACUAUGGUAAGUUGUUGAGA
Long non-coding RNA from Hibiscus syriacus, 327 nucleotides. RefSeq lists it as uncharacterized. The record is from RefSeq and is a predicted model, not a curated record. The transcript has 3 exons. NCBI's taxonomy places the organism in Eukaryota, Viridiplantae, Streptophyta, Magnoliopsida, Malvales, Malvaceae.